RNAcentral lists this ribosomal RNA (546 nucleotides) under Erysiphe kenjiana. RNAcentral describes it as "eukaryotic LSU rRNA". It matches the Rfam family "Eukaryotic large subunit ribosomal RNA", at positions 86 to 641 of the family's 3401-position model. Lineage: Eukaryota; Fungi; Ascomycota; Leotiomycetes; Helotiales; Erysiphaceae. The record is from RNAcentral.
ACGGCGAGUGAAGCGGUAACAGCUCAAAUUUGAAAUCUGGCUCCCUCGGAGUCCGAGUUGUAAUUUGUAGAAGAUGCUUUGGGCUGUGGGUUCGGCCUAAGAUCCUUGGAACAGGACGUCAUAGAGGGUGAGAAUCCCGUAUGUGGCCCGAGGCCUGCGCCCGUGUAAAGCUCUUUCGACGAGUCGAGUUGUUUGGGAAUGCAGCUCAAAAUGGGUGGUAAAUUUCAUCUAAAGCUAAAUAUGGGCCAGAGACCGAUAGCGCACAAGUAGAGUGAUCGAAAGAUGAAAAGCACUUUGGAAAGAGAGUUAAACAGUACGUGAAAUUGUUGAAAGGGAAGCGCUUGCACCCAGACUUGGGCGCUGCUGAUCAUCCAGAGUUCUCUCUGGUGCACUCGACAGCGCACAGGCCAGCAUCGGUUCGGGUGGCUGGAGAAAGACUGGAGGAACGUAGCUCCCUUUCGGGGGAGUGUUAUAGCCUCUGGUGCCAUGCAGCCCAGCCGGACCGAGGACCGCGCCUUCGGGCUAGGAUGCUGGCGUAAUGGGUGU